UAAGGAGGAGGUGAGGGAGUAUAAAGAAAAGGGAGGAUACUCAGCGUAAGGGUUAAACAGAAAGCGGAUGUGAAAUCGGAAAGAAUUGAAAUUAAUGAAGAAGAAAUAACACUCUCUACUGUGGAGGAUACAUGUAUUGUAUAUAUAAAGGAAGAGGAUGUCAAGAAUUUAAAUACUGGAUUGAAGGUGAAUUAUUAAGCCAGGAAGAGGAUCCUCUGCUGUCUGAGUCAAGGAGGAAAAAGAGAAAACCCCGAUAUUUGAUCCUGAGUAAUGAAGAAGAGACUCUUAAUGACAGAAUGGCCGGAAACUGGAAGGAGGAAAUAAAGAUGGAAAAUAUUGAGAUUAAAGAAGAGAUUCAGGAAGAAAUCUUUCAAUUCUCUAGUGUAGAGGAUACAUGCAUUGUUUAUACAAAGGAGGAAGAUGAAAAUUAUUGGAAUUCAAGGAGUUGUGUGUUCACAUCGAUGAAGUUAACAUUUCUCCAACCUCAGGUGGUUAAAAUAGACAAUGAGGGGACACUUCUUGAAUUCGUAAUCUUUGCUGAAGUUUUUGAACUUUUCUUUUUCCUCUCGCCCAUCUUUACUUUAGUAUUCUAUUUAUGUAUAUUCAGCUGAGAGUUUCUAUGUGCAACAAUUAUUUUAUAUGAUUUGUGGAUUUUCUUGCCAAGUUUCGCGGACUUUUUAAGUUGAUCUUAAUUCUUAUAUUUUAAUCAUUCCAUCCCAUAAGCAGCAUGAUCUCUAGCAUCACCUCUUCAAGUCAGCAUAAUUGCUUGAACUGACUCUCCAGUGUGGGGCUGCAUUUUAAGCACCCCCUGGCUAUCAAUGCCCCCUGUCUCAAGUUUUAUAAAUAUAUUUAAAAAUAUAUUUUUUUUCUAUAUGUACAUGCUUGAGACCAAUAUAUAUGUUUGAUUUGAUUUGAUUUGAUGAUUGAUUUGAUGAUUUUAGUAAAUUCUAAAAUGACAAUUUUCAGAAAGAAUGGCUGGAAUUAUAAAGGAGGAAAUGGAAAUUGAAAAUAUUGAGAUUAAAGAAGAGAUUCCAGAAGAUAUCCUUCCAUCCCCUUCUGAAGCGGAAACAUGCAAAGUUUAUAUAAAGGAGGAAGAUGUCAAGGUGGAAAAUACUGAAACUAAAGGUGAAAUAGUUCUCAAUGAAGAGGAUCCUCUGCUGGUUGGAUCAAAGAUAACCAAAAAGAGGAACUAGAAGGAGUAAGAUAUCCAUGU
Molecule: RNA transcript, 1213 nt
Organism: Eurytemora carolleeae
Lineage: Eukaryota; Metazoa; Arthropoda; Copepoda; Calanoida; Temoridae
Exons: 6
Source: RefSeq, a predicted model, not a curated record